CCGAAGUAGACGUCAUGCGUGGAUUUCGGGCACCGGCGCUCAUUCGGUGUGGAGUUGCUCUCGGACGGAGGAGAGCGAAAAUAGUGGCUCGUGGAACGUGGAGGAGAUUACGCUCGUUUGGACGAUCGGCACUUAAUCCAGGGACCCAAUAAGGCAUCUGGGGAGGGGGGGGGCGGCUAACACAGAGCACUUGGAUGGCGUGAAGGCCCUCACAGAUGUCACCGAGUGUUACGCUGAGGAUGAAAACUUCCCAGGGGUCUUUUCCAAGUGCUAUCAUGGAGAUAAUGCACUACGUUAAAAAUCUGCAACAUAGCGGGGGGACACUAAUGCAAUAAAGCAUCUUAGUUUGUAUUCCUGUUUUAAGCGUGCGUGAGUCAUAACCCGCUGCUCCUCUGUGGUCGGAGCCACAUCCUGUUCAGCGCCGCCAUCCGUCCCGCUUGCCUCGGAGAACAUUCAACGCUGUCGGUGAGUUUGGUAUGGAUUGCAUAGAAACCAUCGACCGUUGACUGUGCCCCGAGGUUUGCCCCGACAACGUCAGCAAAGAGCAAAGAAUGCCCAUCGGUCGUGACGAGCAAGCGAGUGGGCGCAUGCAAAUCCUGAGACACGAACACACACACACACACGAUUCACACUGUGGUUCCGACCCAAAAGGUCACAAUCAACAUUCAUUGCUGUCGCUGGGUUGGACUGUGUAGAAAAGCUCACUGAACAAUGAGUGCAACUGUGGCCCAGAUCUGCCUUGACUCCAGUCUCGGCCAAUCAGCCUAACCGGAUGUGAAAGGCUGUGAUUUCUUGAUUUAUUUCCUUCUUGUUUUUCACUUCUAUAUUCUUCAACCGAGAGACUCGGGAUGCGGCAGAGAUAGCGACACAAAUAGACUUCUGGCUGCUCACUUGUCCUCAUCCACCUCUCCUCUAAUUGCCGGUUGUGUGUGCAGCAAGGGGGAAGGAAACGGAGUGAAUGUGUAAUCAUUUGGAGCCUCUUCUCCUUCAGAUGUCGCAUCCCUCUCUUUUUUGUUCGCCUAAUUAUACAGUGCGCUCACUCAACUCCAUGCUAACUGCCCGUCUUACGUUGGCAGUAAUGGACCAGAGGAACAAAUAAACGUUAGAAUUAGUCGAGUUUGUAAGAUGGGCUUUUCCGGCGUAGCUUUUAACAAGGUUGUUUUGGAUCUGCCGUUUCAGGAAUGUGCUUAACUUCCGUGACAUCCUCAAACUUUCUCAAACUCGUUAUGCUCAUUAACUUAACAUGAUCUCACUAAUAGUUUAUGUCAAAUGCAGUCAAUCUUCUUUUAAACAAGCCAUUCCAUGUAUUGUCCCUGUUUUGAAAUAAAGUCACAUCUACAACA
This is a long non-coding RNA of Syngnathus typhle (broad-nosed pipefish), 1343 nucleotides long. RefSeq lists it as uncharacterized. The transcript is spliced from 3 exons. Lineage: Eukaryota; Metazoa; Chordata; Actinopteri; Syngnathiformes; Syngnathidae. The record is from RefSeq and is a predicted model, not a curated record.